UACGGAGGAUGCAAGCGUUAUCCGGAAUUACUGGGCGUAAAGCGUGCGCAGGCGGCUUUGCAAGACAGAUGUGAAAUCCCCGGGCUCAACCUGGGAACUGCAUUUGUGACUGCAAGGCUAGAGUACGGCAGAGGGGGAUGGAAUUCCGCGUGUAGCAGUGAAAUGCGUAGAUAUGCGGAGGAACACCAAUGGCGAAGGCAAUCCCCUGGGCCUGUACUGACGCUCAUGCACGAAAGCGUGGGGAGCAAACAGG
This 253-nucleotide ribosomal RNA is filed under the name uncultured bacterium. RNAcentral's name for it is "partial 16S ribosomal RNA". It matches the Rfam family "Bacterial small subunit ribosomal RNA", at positions 524 to 776 of the family's 1533-position model. The record is from RNAcentral.